Oryza brachyantha (malo sina) is the source of this 895-nucleotide long non-coding RNA. RefSeq lists it as uncharacterized. The record is from RefSeq and is a predicted model, not a curated record. NCBI's taxonomy places the organism in Eukaryota, Viridiplantae, Streptophyta, Magnoliopsida, Poales, Poaceae. The transcript is spliced from 5 exons.
GUCUCUCAUUUCAGUUAGCAAGCUUUGUGGAUUUUAGGAAUGAAGUGGUGGUGGAAACACUUAUUCUGUCGAUUCAAACAAAAUGAUCCGGACCAUAUACAAUUCAAACUGUUUGAUGCUAGCACAAACCUUUCCUUGAACCAAACACUAAAUAUGGAUCUGGAUGUGAAACUUGGGUCCCACUGAGCACAAUGAGGUGCUUUUCCGACAAAGACAAGCUUAUGUUCAUAUCUUGCAAGUCACAGAAGGAGAAGGCCGAGCAGCAAAAGAAGAGGGUGACAAUGCAUUUGAGGAAACUGGACUGGUGGCUGUGCUGUCAUCGUCAUCGGACCGCCUGAUGUUGCAAUCGUUUGCUCUUAACGAAAGCCCCAGCUCAACUCCAUGCAUGUAUCAUGUACGGCAUGGCAAACAGGAGAACCAAACUGCAAGGUGAAUGAAUUUGCAAAUUCUGCAACCUAACUUGCUCAAAAUUUAUCAACACAGGUGGAGGGCACAACUUCACUCGAAGAUGUGGGGACUUAGCUCAGUUCUGUUGGACCUACGGCUACGUUGCCAUCAACGACCGCGUGCUCUACGGGCUGUGUGCUUCAUGUCGCCCAUGAAGGUUUCCAGCAAUGCAAUGCAAUGCUACCCAGUCAAUUCCCGUACGAACUGGUGGGCGAAAUUUCUCGCAAUUCCUGAAGGAAGAGGCCUGAUGAGAAAGGAUUAAUCCAGAUGGGGUCCAGUUAUCAAACCCAAUGUCCACCAAUAUAGGAGAUCUUUUUUUUCUUAUUGCACAGGAAGGACGGAUUCAAUGCGGUGCAGGUACAAACGUGUAAUCGCUGGCAAGGAAACCAAACCGUUUUUUUUUUCUUUUUAACCUCUCGCUGUCUGUCUCUGCCUGGACGUCCUUCAC